Molecule: non-coding RNA, 74 nt
Filed under: Chaetomium globosum CBS 148.51
Lineage: Eukaryota; Fungi; Ascomycota; Sordariomycetes; Sordariales; Chaetomiaceae
Source: RNAcentral
CCAGGACGAUUGGCUGGCACCUUCUCGUGGUGUCCUGGAUCAGUAGCCGCAAUCGCGGCGAAGCCAAGACCGGC